Transfer RNA from Puccinia sorghi, 78 nucleotides. It matches the Rfam family "tRNA". From Rfam's summary of the family: Transfer RNA (tRNA) molecules are approximately 80 nucleotides in length. Their secondary structure includes four short double-helical elements and three loops (D, anti-codon, and T loops). The record is from Rfam. NCBI's taxonomy places the organism in Eukaryota, Fungi, Basidiomycota, Pucciniomycetes, Pucciniales, Pucciniaceae.
GAAUUGGUAGCCUGGUUGGUAAAGGCAGCACUUCUAGUGAUUCUGCUAAGGUCGCUGGUUCAAAUCCUGCCCAAGUUG